This 282-nucleotide unclassified non-coding RNA is filed under the name fungal sp. RNAcentral describes it as "partial internal transcribed spacer region". The stretch from base 1 to 46 matches the Rfam family "Eukaryotic small subunit ribosomal RNA", at positions 1786 to 1831 of the family's 1831-position model. Lineage: Eukaryota; Fungi. The record is from RNAcentral.
AAGUCGUAACAAGGUUUCCGUAGGUGAACCUGCGGAAGGAUCAUUAACGCAUCUCCUCGGGGGGUUCUGGGAGCCCCCGCUCCGGCUCCGGCCGUCGAGCAGGCCCCGCCUCCCCCCGAAAAAAAUUUGCAAACCCACACUGUGCACCUUUCGCGGCAGAGGGUGUGGCGCGAGCCCGCCCGAAGCCGCGGUCCUCACAGACACGGUUUCUCGAAUGUGAAAGCGGACGCCGCUCCGCCCAUAAAACACUGACAACUUUCAACAACGGAUCUCUUGGCUCUC